Molecule: non-coding RNA, 70 nt
Filed under: chicken gut metagenome
Description: ZMP/ZTP riboswitch
Rfam family: ZMP/ZTP riboswitch aptamer (pfl RNA motif)
About the family: Previously known as pfl RNA. ZMP is also known as AICAR.
Source: RNAcentral
CUUAUAUGACUGACGGAAGUGGAAUUGACCACAGGGAGUAUAAGGGAUAGGGGCCGACCGUCUGGGCAGU